Molecule: non-coding RNA, 30 nt
Filed under: Rattus norvegicus (Norway rat)
Lineage: Eukaryota; Metazoa; Chordata; Mammalia; Rodentia; Muridae
Source: RNAcentral
UUUAAGGUUACAGGUAACCAUGACGGGGAA